GACGAACGCUGGCGGCGUGCUUAACACAUGCAAGUCGAACGGAAAGGCCCUGCUUUUGUGGGGUGCUCGAGUGGCGAACGGGUGAGUAACACGUGAGUAACCUGCCCUUGACUUUGGGAUAACUUCAGGAAACUGGGGCUAAUACCGGCUAGGAGCUCCUGCUGCAUGGUGGGGGUUGGAAAGUUUCGGCGGUUGGGGAUGGACUCGCGGCUUAUCAGCUUGUUGGUGGGGUAGUGGCUUACCCAGGCUUUGCCGGGUAGCCGGCCUGUGAGGGUGACCGGCCACAUGGGGACUGAGAUACGGCCCAGACUCCUACGGGAGGCAGCAGUGGGGAAUAUUGCACAAUGGGCGGAGGCCUGAUGCAGCAACGCCGCGUGCGGGAUGACGGCCUUCGGGUUGUAAACCGCUUUCGCCUGUGACGAAGCGUGAGUGACGGUAAUGGGUAAAGAAGCACCGGCUAACUACGUG
RNAcentral lists this ribosomal RNA (468 nucleotides) under uncultured bacterium. Its description in RNAcentral is "partial 16S ribosomal RNA". It matches the Rfam family "Bacterial small subunit ribosomal RNA", at positions 28 to 507 of the family's 1533-position model. The record is from RNAcentral.